RNAcentral lists this ribosomal RNA (301 nucleotides) under uncultured bacterium. RNAcentral's name for it is "partial 16S ribosomal RNA". It matches the Rfam family "Bacterial small subunit ribosomal RNA", at positions 509 to 809 of the family's 1533-position model. The record is from RNAcentral.
CAGUCGCCGCGGUAAGACAGAGGAUGCAAGCGUUAUCCGGAAUGAUUGGGUGUAAAGCGUCUGUAGGUGGCUUUUCAAGUCCGCCGUCAAAUCCCAAGGCUCAACCCUGGACAGGCGGUGGAAACUACCAAGCUGGAGUACAGUAGGGGCAGAGGGAAUUUCCGGUGGAGUGGUGAAAUGCGUUGAGAUCGGAAAGAACACCAACGGCGAAAGCACUCUGCUAGGCCGACAUUGACACUGAGAGACGAAAGCUAGGGGAGCAAAUGGGAUUAGAUACCCCCGUAGUCCCUGUCUCUUAUAA